Molecule: long non-coding RNA, 2872 nt
Organism: Portunus trituberculatus (swimming crab)
Lineage: Eukaryota; Metazoa; Arthropoda; Malacostraca; Decapoda; Portunidae
Exons: 2
Source: RefSeq, a predicted model, not a curated record
CCCGGGCCCACUCGAUUGUGAGUCGUGUGUGUGUGUGUGUGUGUAGGUAGAUAGAUAGAUAGAUAGAUAAAUGGAUAGACGUAAAGCUAUGUAAAGGAGUGUCACGUGAGUGAGGAGAUUUGAGACCUACGUGGGCUACCACCGGCUUAGACUAAAGGUAACAAUGCUUAUAUAGAACGAUACUCACUGAGAGUGGUUAGUUAGUUAUUGUCUAUUGCAAACAAGGGAGGGAGGAGGAGGGGGGAGUAGGAGGAGGAGGAGGUGAAGUGGAAAGCAGUGAGGCAGAAGGGACCGUUUUCUUCUGCAGGCGUUGUGCAGGUAAGAUGUGUGUGCGCCAAGAAGUGUGUCUGUCCACUGCCUUGUUACGAGUUAAUUAACGUUUGUAAAGUUAUGUGUUGGUCUGGUGUCGUCCCUAUCGUGGUGUUAUUGUUGUUGUAGAUCGUGUUUAGUUGAGGACCUUUAUCCGUUUUUCAUGGAGAGUAUUUAAAAGUUCCAUGUUGCAUUUUAGAGGAUAGGAAGUGUUGCCUGACAUUUCGUGGGACUCUGUGUUUAUUGUGUGUGUUUAUUGUGUUUAGUGUAUUUCUUAACAACUUUGUUGAACGCAGCACAUGCUCACAAUUCAGUUGUGUAGGCGUGUCAAGGACAGGGCUUGGAUGUGCAUUGAUAUAGUAUGGCUGCAAGGUGCUUGGUGUAUCUCGGCCUUUUCUCACUGAGCGGUGGCGCAGAUGUAGGCCUAGCUUUGUCAUGAACCUUUGUAUGAGCUACGUGUAGGAUUUUUCGUGGGUUUUCAUUAUUUUCCUCUUAAGGGUGUUCAGCGUUACUUGUACAUAAUCAAACUCAGGAGUUUGUCAUUAGCUGAGAGAGAGAGAGAGAGAGAGAGUGUACUGUGUGUGUGUAUCCGAACACUAAAGUAAUGCUACCUGAAGCGUUUUGAACUCCCACCUUAGAUUCGAUAUCUGUUUCGAGCGCGUGACUUUAGUGUGUCUGCCGCUACGUGGCAGCUUCCAUCCUACUCGAGGUGGAGGGAGUCUGAACAUCGAUCGGUCUGUGAUUACCCAGCUACCUUCCAUACCAGUCAUAUUUGUAGUCCAGUCUUACCCAGGCCAGAAUCCGUCUUAUCACCAGGUAUCUUACUUUAAAAAUAUCUGUGCAUUCAUAAAUGUCAAGUAAAAUUGUGAUUGUAGAAUCCUGGAAUGACAGAAGUAGGUUCGCAUGUGGUUUUUCUCCAGAGGAAGUGUGGGGAGAAACCCCUAGUGCUAUACAUAUGGUCUGAGAUAGAUGUAGGAUAGGGUAUUCACUCAUUGUUGAGGUAAAUUUGACCCUCCAGGUUGUGUUGGGAGUAGGUGCCCCAGGCUGGGUGACACCAGGUAGGGUUGUUAAGGUUAGUAGGAUAUUGCGUUGUGCAAGGGAGUUGUUGGGUGCCGUGACGCUUCAGCUCCAGUUUCAUAUGUGCUGUGAGCCAGUGUACCAUUAAAUUUAAAACAUCAAUUAAGUGUUUAUAGAAACGUCACGGCACCCCGCAUCUUGUGUGUGUUUAAUGAGUAAUGUUUCUGAGUGUGAGGAAGGCCCUGUGUAAAAGCUUCAAAAUGGCUGUAUAUGUAAGUAUUUUGUGGGAUUUUGUGGGAUGUUCAAUUAUCCAGGGUUGUCACUAUUUGGUGUAGUAUAAGUGUAGGAACAAUACAGUAUUAAGUUUCGGUGUUGUGGUGCACGUGUUGGCUACAGUACCACACGCUAGUAAAGUCCUUAAGUAGUAUACGCAGUUGCAUUUAAUUUGAGGCUAGCCACACUUCAAUCAUGUGUAAUUUGUCCCUGUGUAAUAAAAGGUCAUUGAUUCGGAUAAUGACUUGACAGGAGAUUAAGGAUUUUCUUGAUUGGUGACUUUAUUGUUGCAGCAGUGUAUACAAUAAGGGAGUAGGUUUGGUCAUGCCGGCCAACUCCUGAACAUGGGCAAACGAGUCUCGGGCGUCAGUCUGCAGGAGAUGGAGCACGUCCCGCCAAAAGUCUGACACCGGCUUCCUACAUAUGCACCAUACCAACUUGGUAGUCGCAUCAGUUUCACCGCGCUAACUCCUCAGCUACAGCGGCGCUCGAGUCGGACUUUGUACCCGCUUAAUCAUCUGAGGCUCUGGCAUCCUGCUCCUCAUCUGUGUCCAUGUGAUAGCAGUCCAUCUCCAGGUCUCCCUCUUCAGAAGACCGUGGAUGCGUGCGGUCCGGCACAGGUCUUGCCACUACUGAAGGGAGAACCAAAGCAGCGUCUCCUAACGCCCAACCUGCUGCAGGAAACUAGCACAUCUUGCACUGGAAGACGCCAACUGUUCGCUGCACCUUCCACGGAGGAAUUAGGACCCUGUCCCGCACCAGCUCUGCCCUGACAACUCCUGGUGCCAUCCAGGGACCCUGACUCAAACCAGCUCUGCCCUGACAAUACGUGGUUCCUUCUAGGGAGGGAGGACUCAAACCAGCUCUGCCCUGACAAUACGUGGUUCCUUCUAGGGAGGGAGGACACGCUGUAUCUUCCACGGAGGAAUUGGACCCUACCUCGCACCAGUUGUGCCCCAACAACACGUAGUGCCGCCAUCUAAGGAAGAAGGCCUGCCUCGCUGCACCUUCCACGGAGGGAUUGGAGGCUACCUCGCCUUAAGCUUUGCCCUGGUAACACGUGGUCCCAUCUCGUGUUAUUACUCCUUCCCUGUUCUGUUUUGUACCCACAUAACUGGUGUUGGUACUUCAUAAUAAAGAAAAUUGAUAUUGAUGCUUUAUUUCGGUAAUUUUUUUUUUUUGUACUUUAAGUAUUUAUGAAACAUGCCUAACCUAACCCUACUAGCGCCACAAUAUAUAUAGUUCUAGGUUUUCAAAUAAAAACUUUAAUAAU